GACGAACGCUGGCGGCGUGCUUAACACAUGCAAGUCGAACGGAAAGGCCCUGCUUUUGUGGGGUGCUCGAGUGGCGAACGGGUGAGUAACACGUGAGUAACCUGCCCUUGACUUUGGGAUAACUUCAGGAAACUGGGGCUAAUACCGGAUAGGAGCUCCUGCUGCAUGGUGGGGGUUGGAAAGUUUCGGCGGUUGGGGAUGGACUCGCGGCUUAUCAGCUUGUUGGUGGGGUAGUGGCUUACCAAGGCUUUGACGGGUAGCCGGCCUGAGAGGGUGACCGGCCACAUUGGGACUGAGAUACGGCCCAGACUCCUACGGGAGGCAGCAGUGGGGAAUAUUGCACAAUGGGCGGAAGCCUGAUGCAGCAACGCCGCGUGCGGGAUGACGGCCUUCGGGUUGUAAACCGCUUUCGCCUGUGACGAAGCGUGAGUGACGGUAAUGGGUAAAGAAGCACCGGCUAACUACGUGCCAGCAGCCGCGGUGAUACGUAGGGUGCGAGCGUUGUCCGGAUUUAUUGGGCGUAAAGGGCUCGUAGGUGGUUGAUCGCGUCGGAAGUGUAAUCUUGGGGCUUAACCCUGAGCGUGCUUUCGAUACGGGUUGACUUGAGGAAGGUAGGGGAGAAUGGAAUUCCUGGUGGAGCGGUGGAAUGCGCAGAUAUCAGGAGGAACACCAGUGGCGAAGGCGGUUCUCUGGGCCUUUCCUGACGCUGAGGAGCGAAAGCGUGGGGAGCGAACAGGCUUAGAUACCCUGGUAGUCCACGCUGUAAACGGUGGGUACUAGGUGUGGGGUCCAUUCCACGGGUUCCGUGCCGUAGCUAACGCUUUAAGUACCCCGCCUGGGGAGUACGGCCGCAAGGCUAAAACUCAAAGGAGUUGACGGGGCCCCGCAUAAGCGGCGGAGCAUGCAGAUUAAUUCGAUGCAACGCGUAGAACCUUACCUGGGUUUGACAUGGAUCGGGAGCGCUCAGAGAUGGGUGUGCCUCUUUUGGGGUCGGUUCACAGGUGGUGCAUGGCUGUCGUCAGCUCGUGUCGUGAGAUGUUGGGUUAAGUCCCGCAACGAGCGCAACCCUUGUUCACUGUUGCCAGCACGUUAUGGUGGGGACUCAGUGGAGACCGCCGGGGUCAACUCGGAGGAAGGUGGGGAUGACGUCAAGUCAUCAUGCCCCUUAUGUCCAGGGCUUCACGCAUGCUACAAUGGCUGGUACAGAGAGUGGCGAGCCUGUGAGGGUGAGCGAAUCUCGGAAAGCCGGUCUCAGUUCGGAUUGGGGUCUGCAACUCGACCUCAUGAAGUCGGAGUCGCUAGUAAUCGCAGAUCAGCAACGCUGCGGUGAAUACGUUCCCGGGGCUUGUACACACCGCCCGUCAAGUCAUGAAAGUUGGUAACACCCGAAGCCGGUGGCCUAACCGUUGUGGGGGAGCCGUCGAAGGUGGGACUGGUGAUUAGGACU
This 1447-nucleotide ribosomal RNA is filed under the name uncultured bacterium. RNAcentral's name for it is "bacterial SSU rRNA". It matches the Rfam family "Bacterial small subunit ribosomal RNA". The record is from RNAcentral.